GGACCCAACCGUUUGCUGUUAGAUUAGCAUGCAUGUCUCAGUAUAAGCUUCUAUACGGCGAAACUGCGAAUGGCUCAUUAAAACAGUUAUAGUUUAUUUGGUGGUCAGCAAUUACAUGGAUAACCGUGGUAAUUCUAGAGCUAAUACAUGCGCCCAAACCCGACUUCGUGGAAGGGUUGUGUUUAUUAGAUACAGAACUAACCCAGGCUCCGCCUGGCCUUGAGGUGAUUCAUAAUAACCGAACGAAUCGCAUGGCUAUGCCGGCGAUAGACCAUUCAAGUUUCUGACCUAUCAGCUAUCGUCGGUAGGGUAUUGGCCUACCGUGGCAAUGACGGGUAACGGAGAAUUAGGGUUCGAUUCCGGAGAGGGAGCCUGAGAAACGGCUACCACAUCUAAGGAAGGCAGCAGGCGCGCAAAUUACCCAAUCCUGACGCAGGGAGGUAGUGACAAGAAAUAACAAUACAGGGCAUACAUGUCUUGUAAUUGGAAUGAGUAAACUU
RNAcentral lists this ribosomal RNA (500 nucleotides) under uncultured eukaryote. RNAcentral's name for it is "SSU rRNA". It matches the Rfam family "Eukaryotic small subunit ribosomal RNA", at positions 32 to 525 of the family's 1831-position model. The record is from RNAcentral.